GACGAACGCUGGCGGCGUGCUUAACACAUGCAAGUCGAACGGAAAGGCCCUGCUUGCGGGGUACUCGAGUGUGGAACGGGUGAGUAACACGUGUGUGUACUGCGCUGCACUUUGGGGUAAGCCUGGGGAACUGGGUGUAUUACCCCGUAUGGGCGAUCUUGAUGGUGAGGGGGGGAUAGUUUUUUGGGUGUAGGGUGGGCGGGCGGGCUGUUUGGCUGCUGGUGGGGUAAGUGCCUACCAAGGCGGGCUAUGGUGGCCGGCCUGAGGGGGUGGACGGCCACAUUGGGACCGGGGUACGGCCCAGACUCCCACCGGAGGGCACAGUGGGGAAUAUUGCAACAUGGGCGGAAACCUGAUGCAGCGACGCCCCGUGGGGGAUGACGGCCUUCGGGUUGUAAAACCCUUUCGGUAGGGACGAAGCUUUUUGUGACGGUAACUAGAUAAGAAGCACCGGCUAACUACGUG
RNAcentral lists this ribosomal RNA (465 nucleotides) under uncultured bacterium. RNAcentral's name for it is "partial 16S ribosomal RNA". It matches the Rfam family "Bacterial small subunit ribosomal RNA", at positions 28 to 507 of the family's 1533-position model. The record is from RNAcentral.